This 411-nucleotide unclassified non-coding RNA is filed under the name Hevea brasiliensis (rubber tree). Lineage: Eukaryota; Viridiplantae; Streptophyta; Magnoliopsida; Malpighiales; Euphorbiaceae. The record is from RNAcentral.
GUUAGGUCUGAUCAAGUUUGGAUAACCUCAUUGGUUAGUUCAGGAUGCUUAGAUGGAAAAAGACAGCUAAGGAAGAUUCUAAUGUGACCUUAGAAUGGUUGCAUUUCCACUUCCCACAUUGCUAGAUUACAUCAAUCAGAGUUUAUGCUUUACAGGACAAUGUAAAUAUUUUACAUGCUUAUGUCAACCGAAUAGUUGAUGCUAGAAUUGGUAGACAAUGUAUUAUCAAUUAAAUUGUUGUCUCCAACUGAAUUGGUAAUCAAGCUCUCAACUCGAGUCUGUUCAUGCCUGUUAUCCUGUCAACGGUGUAUGACUGACUGGAAAUAGGCUUUAGUAAGUUUUACGUAUUGCAGCUUUUGUUGUUUUGUACAAGCAACUUAUGUUUUCAUAAUGUCUGAUAAGUUGAAUUCA